Molecule: ribosomal RNA, 585 nt
Filed under: Cadophora melinii
Lineage: Eukaryota; Fungi; Ascomycota; Leotiomycetes; Helotiales; Ploettnerulaceae
Description: eukaryotic LSU rRNA
Rfam family: 5.8S ribosomal RNA (bases 222-375)
Source: RNAcentral
ACAGCUCGUAGUGACUGCGGAGGAUCAUUAAUAAACCUAGUCGUUCGCGUACAUAGGGGCAACCCUCGCGUGAUGUCAGCAAUACCUAGGUAACCCUUGAAUAAACUACCCUUGUUGCUUUGGCGGGUCGCCUUUUAGGCCAGCGGCUUCGGCUGCUGCGUGCCCGCCAGAGGACCACAACUCUUGUUUUUAGUGAUGUCUGAGUACUAUAUAAUAGUUAAAACUUUCAACAACGGAUCUCUUGGUUCUGGCAUCGAUGAAGAACGCAGCGAAAUGCGAUAAGUAAUGUGAAUUGCAGAAUUCAGUGAAUCAUCGAAUCUUUGAACGCACAUUGCGCCCUUUGGUAUUCCGAAGGGCAUGCCUGUUCGAGCGUCAUUAUAACCACUCAAGCCUUCGCUUGGUAUUGGGGUUCGCGGUUCCGCGGCCUCUAAAAUCAGUGGCGGUGCCUGUCGGCUCUACGCGUAGUAAUACUCCUCGCGUCUGGGUCCGGUAGGUUGCUUGCCAACAACCCCCAAUUUUUUACAGGUUGACCUCGGAUCAGGUAGGGAUACCCGCUGAACUUAAGCAUAUCAUAGNCCCGGAGGA